CCUACGGGUGGCAGCAGUGAGGAAUAUUGGUCAAUGGGCGAGAGCCUGAACCAGCCAAGUCGCGUGAGGGAAGACGGUCCUAUGGAUUAUAAACCUCUUUUGCCGGGGAGCAAAAAGCGGUACGUGUACCGCAUCGAGAGUACCCGGAGAAAAAGCAUCGGCUAACUCCGUGCCAGCAGCCGCGGUAAUACGGGGGAUGCGAGCGUUAUCCGGAUUUAUUGGGUUUAAAGGGUGCGAGGGGGGCGGGUUAUGUCAGCGGGAAAAUUUCGGGGCUCAACCCCGACAAGCCGUUGAAACUGGCUGGCUAGAGGGGGCGAGAGGGAGGCGGAAUGCGUGGUGUAGCGGUGAAAUGCAUAGAUAUCACGCAGAACUCCGAUUGCGAAGGCAGCAUACCGGCGCCCAACUGACGCUCAGGCACGAAAGCGUGGGUAUCGAACAGGAUUAGAUACCCCAGUAGUC
This 459-nucleotide ribosomal RNA is filed under the name uncultured bacterium. Its description in RNAcentral is "partial 16S ribosomal RNA". It matches the Rfam family "Bacterial small subunit ribosomal RNA", at positions 338 to 795 of the family's 1533-position model. The record is from RNAcentral.